GGUUAAGCGACUAAGCGUACACGGUGGAUGCCCUGGCAGUCAGAGGCGAUGAAGGACGUGCUAAUCUGCGAAAAGCGUCGGUAAGGUGAUAUGAACCGUUAUAACCGGCGAUGUCCGAAUGGGGAAACCCAGUGUGAUUCGUCACACUAUCGUUAACUGAAUACAUAGGUUAACGAGGCGAACCGGGGGAACUGAAACAUCUAAGUACCCCGAGGAAAAGAAAUCAACCGAGAUUCCCCCAGUAGCGGCGAGCGAACGGGGAGCAGCCCAGAGUCUGAAUCAGCUUGUGUGUUAGUGGAACGGUCUGGAAAGUCCGACGGUACAGGGUGAUAGUCCCGUACACCAAAAUGCACAGGUUGUGAACUCGAAGAGUAGGGCGGGACACGUGGUAUCCUGUCUGAAUAUGGGGGGACCAUCCUCCAAGGCUAAAUACUCCUGACUGACCGAUAGUGAACCAGUACCGUGAGGGAAAGGCGAAAAGAACCCCGGCGAGGGGAGUGAAAAAGAACCUGAAACCGUGUACGUACAAGCAGUGGGAGCACCUUCGGGUGUGACUGCGUACCUUUUGUAUAAUGGGUCAGCGACUUAUAUUCUGUAGCAAGGUUAACCGUAUAGGGGAGCCGCAGGGAAACCGAGUCUUAACUGGGCGUUAAGUUGCAGGGUAUAGACCCGAAACCCGGUGAUCUAGCCAUGGGCAGGUUGAAGGUUGGGUAACACUAACUGGAGGACCGAACCGACUAAUGUUGAAAAAUUAGCGGAUGACUUGUGGCUGGGGGUGAAAGGCCAAUCAAACCGGGAGAUAGCUGGUUCUCCCCGAAAGCUAUUUAGGUAGCGCCUCGUGAACUCAUCUUCGGGGGUAGAGCACUGUUUCGGCUAGGGGGUCAUCCCGACUUACCAACCCGAUGCAAACUACGAAUACCGAAGAAUGUUAUCACGGGAGACACACGGCGGGUGCUAACGUCCGUCGUGAAGAGGGAAACAACCCAGACCGCCAGCUAAGGUCCCAAAGUCAUGGUUAAGUGGGAAACGAUGUGGGAAGGCACAGACAGCCAGGAUGUUGGCUUAGAAGCAGCCAUCAUUUAAAGAAAGCGUAAUAGCUCACUGGUCGAGUCGGCCUGCGCGGAAGAUGUAACGGGGCUAAACCAUGCACCGAAGCUGCGGCAGCGACACUAUGUGUUGUUGGGUAGGGGAGCGUUCUGUAAGCCUGCGAAGGUGACCUGUGAGGGUUGCUGGAGGUAUCAGAAGUGCGAAUGCUGACAUAAGUAACGAUAAAGCGGGUGAAAAGCCCGCUCGCCGGAAGACCAAGGGUUCCUGUCCAACGUUAAUCGGGGCAGGGUGAGUCGACCCCUAAGGCGAGGCCGAAAGGCGUAGUCGAUGGGAAACAGGUUAAUAUUCCUGUACUUGGUGUUACUGCGAAGGGGGGACGGAGAAGGCUAUGUUAGCCGGGCGACGGUUGUCCCGGUUUAAGCAUGUAGGCUGGUUAUCCAGGCAAAUCCGGAUAAUCAAGGCUGAGGUGUGAUGACGAGGCACUACGGUGCUGAAGUAACAAAUGCCCUGCUUCCAGGAAAAGCCUCUAAGCAUCAGGUAACAUCAAAUCGUACCCCAAACCGACACAGGUGGUCAGGUAGAGAAUACCAAGGCGCUUGAGAGAACUCGGGUGAAGGAACUAGGCAAAAUGGUGCCGUAACUUCGGGAGAAGGCACGCUGGUGUGUAGGUGAAGCCCCUGCGGGUGGAGCUGAGACCAGUCGAAGAUACCAGCUGGCUGCAACUGUUUAUUAAAAACACAGCACUGUGCAAACACGAAAGUGGACGUAUACGGUGUGACGCCUGCCCGGUGCCGGAAGGUUAAUUGAUGGGGUUAUCCGUAAGGAGAAGCUCUUGAUCGAAGCCCCGGUAAACGGCGGCCGUAACUAUAACGGUCCUAAGGUAGCGAAAUUCCUUGUCGGGUAAGUUCCGACCUGCACGAAUGGCGUAAUGAUGGCCAGGCUGUCUCCACCCGAGACUCAGUGAAAUUGAACUCGCUGUGAAGAUGCAGUGUACCCGCGGCAAGACGGAAAGACCCCGUGAACCUUUACUAUAGCUUGACACUGAACAUUGAGCCUUGAUGUGUAGGAUAGGUGGGAGGCUUUGAAGCGUGGACGCCAGUCUGCGUGGAGCCAACCUUGAAAUACCACCCUUUAAUGUUUGAUGUUCUAACGUUGGCCCCUUACCGGGGUUGCGGACAGUGUCUGGUGGGUAGUUUGACUGGGGCGGUCUCCUCCCAAAGCGUAACGGAGGAGCACGAAGGUUAGCUAAUCCUGGUCGGACAUCAGGAGGUUAGUGCAAUGGCAUAAGCUAGCUUGACUGCGAGCGUGACGGCGCGAGCAGGUGCGAAAGCAGGUCAUAGUGAUCCGGUGGUUCUGAAUGGAAGGGCCAUCGCUCAACGGAUAAAAGGUACUCCGGGGAUAACAGGCUGAUACCGCCCAAGAGUUCAUAUCGACGGCGGUGUUUGGCACCUCGAUGUCGGCUCAUCACAUCCUGGGGCUGAAGUAGGUCCCAAGGGUAUGGCUGUUCGCCAUUUAAAGUGGUACGCGAGCUGGGUUUAGAACGUCGUGAGACAGUUCGGUCCCUAUCUGCCGUGGGCGCUGGAGAAUUGAGGGGGGCUGCUCCUAGUACGAGAGGACCGGAGUGGACGCAUCACUGGUGUUCGGGUUGUCAUGCCAAUGGCACUGCCCGGUAGCUAAAUGCGGAAGAGAUAAGUGCUGAAAGCAUCUAAGCACGAAACUUGCCCCGAGAUGAGUUCUCCCUGAGACUUUAAGUCUCCUGAAGGAACGUUGAAGACGACGACGUUGAUAGGCCGGGUGUGUAAGCGCAGCGAUGCGUUGAGCUAACCGGUACUAAUGAACCGUGAGGCUUAACCUU
RNAcentral lists this ribosomal RNA (2902 nucleotides) under Klebsiella pneumoniae. RNAcentral's name for it is "23S ribosomal RNA". It matches the Rfam family "Bacterial large subunit ribosomal RNA". The record is from RNAcentral. Lineage: Bacteria; Pseudomonadati; Pseudomonadota; Gammaproteobacteria; Enterobacterales; Enterobacteriaceae.